This 329-nucleotide unclassified non-coding RNA is filed under the name soil metagenome. Its description in RNAcentral is "partial contains 5.8S ribosomal RNA, internal transcribed spacer 2, and large subunit ribosomal RNA". The stretch from base 1 to 120 matches the Rfam family "5.8S ribosomal RNA", at positions 35 to 154 of the family's 154-position model. The record is from RNAcentral.
GAUGAAGAACGUAGCGAAAUGCGAUAAGUAAUGUGAAUUGCAGAAUUCAGUGAAUCAUCGAAUCUUUGAACGCACUUUGCGCCCUCUGGUAUUCCGGGGGGCAUGCCUGUUCGAGCGUCAUUAUAACCACUCAAGCUCUCGCUUGGUAUUGGAGUUCGCGAUCUCGCGGCUCCUAAAAUCAGUGGCGGUGCCUGUCGGCUCUACGCGUAGUAAUACUCCUCGCGAUUGAGUCCGGUAGGUUUACUUGCCAGCAACCCCCAAUUUUUACAGGUUGACCUCGGAUCAGGUAGGGAUACCCGCUGAACUUAAGCAUAUCAAUAAGCGGAGGA